This 94-nucleotide transfer RNA is filed under the name bacterium 1xD42-87. It matches the Rfam family "tRNA". Rfam says of the family: Transfer RNA (tRNA) molecules are approximately 80 nucleotides in length. Their secondary structure includes four short double-helical elements and three loops (D, anti-codon, and T loops). The record is from Rfam by way of RNAcentral.
GGUGACGUACCGAAAUCUGGUUAUAACGGCGCAGACUUGAAAUCUGAUGUGUCAUGGAAAACAUGACCUGUGGGUUCAAAUCCUACCGUCACCG